UAGGGAAUCUUCCACAAUGGACGCAAGUCUGAUGGAGCAACGCCGCGUGAGUGAAGAAGGCUUUCGGGUCGUAAAACUCUGUUAUUGAAGAAGAACGUGUGUGACAGUAACUGGUCAUGCAGUGACGGUAUUCAAUCAGAAAGUCACGGCUAACUACGUGCCAGCAGCCGCGGUAAUACGUAGGUGGCAAGCGUUGUCCGGAUUUAUUGGGCGUAAAGCGAGUGCAGGCGGUCUUUUAAGUCUGAUGUGAAAGCCUUCGGCUUAACCGAAGAAGGGCAUCGGAAACUGGGAGACUUGAGUGCAGAAGAGGAGAGUGGAACUCCAUGUGUAGCGGUGAAAUGCGUAGAUAUAUGGAAGAACACCAGUGGCGAAGGCGGCUCUCUGGUCUGUAACUGACGCUGAGGCUCGAAAGCGUGGGGUAGCAAACAGGAU
This 432-nucleotide ribosomal RNA is filed under the name uncultured bacterium. RNAcentral describes it as "partial 16S ribosomal RNA". It matches the Rfam family "Bacterial small subunit ribosomal RNA", at positions 355 to 778 of the family's 1533-position model. The record is from RNAcentral.